GGCCUCGUAGCUCAGCUGGUAAAGAGUGCGCGUACAAAGCGUAAGCGGCCUCCCCUGCGUGGGUUCGAAUCCCAUCGAGGCUA
Molecule: transfer RNA, 83 nt
Filed under: Echinostoma caproni
Lineage: Eukaryota; Metazoa; Platyhelminthes; Trematoda; Plagiorchiida; Echinostomatidae
Rfam family: tRNA
About the family: Transfer RNA (tRNA) molecules are approximately 80 nucleotides in length. Their secondary structure includes four short double-helical elements and three loops (D, anti-codon, and T loops).
Source: Rfam by way of RNAcentral